GUGAGAGUCAGAUUUGUGAGGAAGUGGAGAGUCAGAUUUGUGAGGAAGGUGAGAGUCAGAUUUGUGAGGAAGUGGAGAGUCAGAUUUGUGAGGAAGGUGAGAGGCAGAUUUGUGAGGAAGGUGAGAGUCAGAUUUGUCAUGAAGUGGAGAGUCAGAUUUGUCUGGAGAGUCAGAUUUGUGAGGAAGGUGAGAGUCAGAUUUGUGAGGAAGGUGAGAGUCAGAUUUAUCUGAUCACACCAAAGGUGACAUUCAUGUAAAAUAGCAGCGAGUUGAAAGUUUUAUGGAGCAAAAGCGAGUUGAAAACGACGUUCUCACCAUUAAAGUGUACUUAAUUAAAUGAAUGCACACAACAAAGCCUUCAGACUCACAACCG
Molecule: long non-coding RNA, 373 nt
Organism: Ictalurus punctatus (channel catfish)
Lineage: Eukaryota; Metazoa; Chordata; Actinopteri; Siluriformes; Ictaluridae
Source: Ensembl